UUUAACUGAAGAGUUUGAUCAUGGCUCAGAUUGAACGCUGGCGGCAGGCUUAACACAUGCAAGUCGAGCGGGGGAAGGUAGCUUGCUACUGGACCUAGCGGCGGACGGGUGAGUAAUGCUUAGGAAUCUGCCUAUUAGUGGGGGACAACAUCUCGAAAGGGAUGCUAAUACCGCAUACGUCCUACGGGAGAAAGCAGGGGAUCUUCGGACCUUGCGCUAAUAGAUGAGCCUAAGUCGGAUUAGCUAGUUGGUGGGGUAAAGGCCUACCAAGGCGACGAUCUGUAGCGGGUCUGAGAGGAUGAUCCGCCACACUGGGACUGAGACACGGCCCAGAC
This 335-nucleotide ribosomal RNA is filed under the name Acinetobacter baumannii. RNAcentral describes it as "bacterial SSU rRNA". It matches the Rfam family "Bacterial small subunit ribosomal RNA", at positions 1 to 336 of the family's 1533-position model. Lineage: Bacteria; Pseudomonadati; Pseudomonadota; Gammaproteobacteria; Moraxellales; Moraxellaceae. The record is from RNAcentral.